CCUACGGGAGGCUGCAGUGGGGAAUAUUGCACAAUGGGGGAAACCCUGAUGCAGCGACGCCGCGUGAGUGAAGAAGGAUUUCGGUAUGUAAAGCUCUAUUAGCAGGGAAGAAAAUGACGGUACCUGACUAAGAAGCCCCGGCUAACUACGUGCCAGCAGCCGCGGUAAUACGUAGGGGGCAAGCGUUAUCCGGAUUUACUGGGUGUAAAGGGCGCGUAGGCGGCAGGGUAAGUCAGAUGUGAAAUCCCAUGGCUUAACCAUGGGACUGCUUUUGAAACUGUGCAGCUGGAGUGCAGGAGGGGUAGGCGGAAUUCCUGGUGUAGCGGUGAAAUGCGUAGAUAUUAGGAGGAACACCAGUGGCGAAGGCGGCUUACUGGACUGUAACUGACGUUGAGGCUCGAAAGCGUGGGGAGCAAACAGGAUUAGAUACCCCGGUAGUC
Molecule: ribosomal RNA, 440 nt
Filed under: uncultured bacterium
Lineage: Bacteria
Description: partial 16S ribosomal RNA
Rfam family: Bacterial small subunit ribosomal RNA
Source: RNAcentral